UAAACUUGUAUAUUUUAAGAAUACCUAGUCUCUUCCCUUACUUUACCCUUCCCUGUCUGGAUGUUCCUAAUGGAUGUUGUACAUAAAUGUAGUAGUGACACCCUUUCAAGCAUAUAGAAGUUGUCACAUGUGGCACCCAACAAAAGAAUUUGAAUUUUCUUCCCUGGUUGAACAUCCUUAUCAGUGAUCUACAACAUCUUUUUCCCCAAGACUGAUGUUUUGUUUGUGUGUGUGUGUAUGUGUGUGUGUGUGUGUCUGUCUGUCUGUCUGUCUGUCUGCCUGUGUGCAUGCCUGCCUGACUUUGUCUCUUUCUGUCUGUUUCUUACACAUGAUACCUCUCCAUAGUUCAGUUUGACUUCUUACUUGUUCAUUCCAAGGUUGAACCAUCAUGUGUUCUCUGAGUGUUUGCUUUUGCUCUCUCAAAUUGCACCUGCAUUAACCAAUGCAUCUGUAGCCAUACCUGUGAACAGCGGGUCACAUCACAAAUAGCCACAUUGCUAAAAUAUUUUAUUUUUAAGGCUCUGAGCAAAGUUUUUAUCUGAAUUUACGUAAUUUUCCCUUACAUUUCAUUCCCCCACCCAAACUGUACUACUCUGGAUCUUCCCCAUGUCUUUGCUUACUUGUGUUUAUCUAUUUAUCUGGUCUACUAUGAAGGCAUCAUCCCAACCCUCCAUAAUUACUUAUUAGGAGCAAUGGAUGAGGAAAUUGGAGAAACUGAUCAUUUAGUUACAGAAGAUGUACCCUUAGAGGGAUUAACUGUGUGGAAUCAUGGCUUCAUUGACAGUCAUCCUGACCUAAGUUUUCAACUUCCUUUCUUCCUUAUCAUUUUGAGUGUGCUACCUAAGGUGGGAAAGAACCAUUUCGGGGCUUUGUGUGAAAAUUGAGUAUUUAAUAUCCACACAUGAAGGUGGGAAAGAAUUCAAUAAAUCAGUGACAUCUCUGUCUUUAGAAGGGAGACUGAUUAAAAGUCUUCCCUUGUGUCUUAGAUGAAGCUCCUGGAAAGGGCAGCUUGGCUUUUUGAUUUGAAGAAGAUAUAGUUAAUGGGUUGUUAUGUGCUCUUGAAGGGAACCCUCCUCUGGAUACAUUAUUGUAUGCUGGAAUUACCAUGGUAUUCUCUGUGAUGUCACUAAUGUUAUGGAAACAGAAGCUGCCCUCGUGCAUUUAGUUAGUAUUUAUUGGUUUACCCAGAGACAUGUUUUUCAGGAUGAUCAAGCUAUUUACAAAGAAAACAGAGAGCAUUGAGCACAAGAGAGAGAAGAAGACGAAAUUAGGACAUUUUUCUUGUUAUAAAAGUGAAAAAAUUAAACGAUCAGGUGUAAACCAGAGAGAGUAAGCUCUGGACUGGUGCUCAGGAGCUUCCUGGAGAAGUUGGGCUUGGGUCACGCCUUCUAGGAUUAGGACUAAUGAUCUGAAACCUCUGGAUUCUUAAAGAAGCGACCCAGAGUCAAGAAUAUCUGAUGAAUGUUUGGCAGACAGCCAGCAAUUGACAACCAUGCAGUGGGUCUGUUAUGAGUUCCUAAGUUUCACUCUCAGUGAGAAAGAAAGCCAAUAGGAGCCACAGGGAUAAAAACUUUGACUCUCAGGGAAGAGUAUUGGACUUAAUCUUCAGAGGCCUCCUGUACAUGUCAUUGACAUGUUAUGACAAGAACAGAGAGUGUGAUACUCCCCUGGAUAUGUUUAAAGAUAUCAGAAUCAUUUGUUUUGAACAUACAUGAUUAGGGCUUGGUGAUCCAAAGCACUAUGGAGUCCAGGGUUUACCUGUAUAUAUCUAACAAUCAUGGCUGGGAGCAGGAGAGUAGCUAAUAGAUCUUGAAGAGAGCUUUCCUCACCUUUCAGUGCUUCAAAGUAUCUGUAGAUUUCCCCUUUCCUCAUGCUUCUUUUUGGGGACACAGCAUGUUUUAUCCUAUGACUGGGCUGUUGUUCUUGUGGUUCCCUUGUGUUUUACUACAGGGUCUGCUAGAAAGGCAACAUCCCAACCUCCUAUCAUCAAUGAGCAAGCAGAGCAGAUUAAGAAGUUGGAGAAACCUGACUAUUGAGCUCCAGAAGAAGACCUAUUUUCUGUUGACUGGGCUCAUAGCUUGAUACUUGAAAUCUGGUAGACUACGCAAAGUGGAUCUGCUUUUGGAGGAAUUUGCUUACCUUGGAGGAGUUGGAAACAGUGAACAAGGAUUGAUCCACCACCUAAUCCCUUGCUGAGAACAAAGUCUACUCUUCACAGCCUGGUAACUUGCUUCUGUGGCCAGACAUGAAGGCUCUGAAGCACAGUUGCAUCCUGUUGAUCUGUGAAUUAGCUGAUAGUGGCUAUCAACUUGGUCACAUGAAGCAUAUGAGAGGUUUGACAAGACAGUAUCAGGCCAUUUGUGACACUGCCCAUCCAAUGGAAACAUGGAAGUUUUGAGAAUCACAGAGUGGGAGUCUCAUGUCUGAACUUUGACACCCAGGGUCUGCUAGAAAGGCAACAUCCCAACCUCCUAUCAUCAAUGAGCAAGCAGAGCAGAUUAAGAAGUUGGAGAAACCUGACUAUUGAGCUCCAGAAGAAGACCUAUUUUCUGUUGACUGGGCUCAUAGCUUGAUACUUGAAAUCUGGUAGACUACGCAAAGUGGAUCUGCUUUUGGAGGAAUUUGCUUACCUUGGAGGAGUUGGAAACAGUGAACAAGGAUUGAUCCACCACCUAAUCCCUUGCUGAGAACAAAGUCUACUCUUCACAGCCUGGUAACUUGCUUCUGUGGCCAGACAUGAAGGCUCUGAAGCACAGUUGCAUCCUGUUGAUCUGUGAAUUAGCUGAUAGUGGCUAUCAACUUGGUCACAUGAAGCAUAUGAGAGGUUUGACAAGACAGUAUCAGGCCAUUUGUGACACUGCCCAUCCAAUGGAAACAUGGAAGUUUUGAGAAUCACAGAGUGGGAGUCUCAUGUCUGAACUUUGACACCCAGGGUCUGCUAGAAAGGCAACAUCCCAACCUCCUAUCAUCAAUGAGCAAGCAGAGCAGAUUAAGAAGUUGGAGAAACCUGACUAUUGAGCUCCAGAAGAAGACCUAUUUUCUGUUGACUGGGCUCAUAGCUUGAUACUUGAAAUCUGGUAGACUACGCAAAGUGGAUCUGCUUUUGGAGGAAUUUGCUUACCUUGGAGGAGUUGGAAACAGUGAACAAGGAUUGAUCCACCACCUAAUCCCUUGCUGAGAACAAAGUCUACUCUUCACAGCCUGGUAACUUGCUUCUGUGGCCAGACAUGAAGGCUCUGAAGCACAGUUGCAUCCUGUUGAUCUGUGAAUUAGCUGAUAGUGGCUAUCAACUUGGUCACAUGAAGCAUAUGAGAGGUUUGACAAGACAGUAUCAGGCCAUUUGUGACACUGCCCAUCCAAUGGAAACAUGGAAGUUUUGAGAAUCACAGAGUGGGAGUCUCAUGUCUGAACUUUGACACCCAGGGUCUGCUAGAAAGGCAACAUCCCAACCUCCUAUCAUCAAUGAGCAAGCAGAGCAGAUUAAGAAGUUGGAGAAACCUGACUAUUGAGCUCCAGAAGAAGACCUAUUUUCUGUUGACUGGGCUCAUAGCUUGAUACUUGAAAUCUGGUAGACUACGCAAAGUGGAUCUGCUUUUGGAGGAAUUUGCUUACCUUGGAGGAGUUGGAAACAGUGAACAAGGAUUGAUCCACCACCUAAUCCCUUGCUGAGAACAAAGUCUACUCUUCACAGCCUGGUAACUUGCUUCUGUGGCCAGACAUGAAGGCUCUGAAGCACAGUUGCAUCCUGUUGAUCUGUGAAUUAGCUGAUAGUGGCUAUCAACUUGGUCACAUGAAGCAUAUGAGAGGUUUGACAAGACAGUAUCAGGCCAUUUGUGACACUGCCCAUCCAAUGGAAACAUGGAAGUUUUGAGAAUCACAGAGUGGGAGUCUCAUGUCUGAACUUUGACACCCAGGGUCUGCUAGAAAGGCAACAUCCCAACCUCCUAUCAUCAAUGAGCAAGCAGAGCAGAUUAAGAAGUUGGAGAAACCUGACUAUUGAGCUCCAGAAGAAGACCUAUUUUCUGUUGACUGGGCUCAUAGCUUGAUACUUGAAAUCUGGUAGACUACGCAAAGUGGAUCUGCUUUUGGAGGAAUUUGCUUACCUUGGAGGAGUUGGAAACAGUGAACAAGGAUUGAUCCACCACCUAAUCCCUUGCUGAGAACAAAGUCUACUCUUCACAGCCUGGUAACUUGCUUCUGUGGCCAGACAUGAAGGCUCUGAAGCACAGUUGCAUCCUGUUGAUCUGUGAAUUAGCUGAUAGUGGCUAUCAACUUGGUCACAUGAAGCAUAUGAGAGGUUUGACAAGACAGUAUCAGGCCAUUUGUGACACUGCCCAUCCAAUGGAAACAUGGAAGUUUUGAGAAUCACAGAGUGGGAGUCUCAUGUCUGAACUUUGACACCCAGGGUCUGCUAGAAAGGCAACAUCCCAACCUCCUAUCAUCAAUGAGCAAGCAGAGCAGAUUAAGAAGUUGGAGAAACCUGACUAUUGAGCUCCAGAAGAAGACCUAUUUUCUGUUGACUGGGCUCAUAGCUUGAUACUUGAAAUCUGGUAGACUACGCAAAGUGGAUCUGCUUUUGGAGGAAUUUGCUUACCUUGGAGGAGUUGGAAACAGUGAACAAGGAUUGAUCCACCACCUAAUCCCUUGCUGAGAACAAAGUCUACUCUUCACAGCCUGGUAACUUGCUUCUGUGGCCAGACAUGAAGGCUCUGAAGCACAGUUGCAUCCUGUUGAUCUGUGAAUUAGCUGAUAGUGGCUAUCAACUUGGUCACAUGAAGCAUAUGAGAGGUUUGACAAGACAGUAUCAGGCCAUUUGUGACACUGCCCAUCCAAUGGAAACAUGGAAGUUUUGAGAAUCACAGAGUGGGAGUCUCAUGUCUGAACUUUGACACCCAGGGUCUGCUAGAAAGGCAACAUCCCAACCUCCUAUCAUCAAUGAGCAAGCAGAGCAGAUUAAGAAGUUGGAGAAACCUGACUAUUGAGCUCCAGAAGAAGACCUAUUUUCUGUUGACUGGGCUCAUAGCUUGAUACUUGAAAUCUGGUAGACUACGCAAAGUGGAUCUGCUUUUGGAGGAAUUUGCUUACCUUGGAGGAGUUGGAAACAGUGAACAAGGAUUGAUCCACCACCUAAUCCCUUGCUGAGAACAAAGUCUACUCUUCACAGCCUGGUAACUUGCUUCUGUGGCCAGACAUGAAGGCUCUGAAGCACAGUUGCAUCCUGUUGAUCUGUGAAUUAGCUGAUAGUGGCUAUCAACUUGGUCACAUGAAGCAUAUGAGAGGUUUGACAAGACAGUAUCAGGCCAUUUGUGACACUGCCCAUCCAAUGGAAACAUGGAAGUUUUGAGAAUCACAGAGUGGAGUCUCAUGUCUGAACUUUGACACCCAGGGGCUGCCAGCAUCAGGAGAAAGGUAACAUGGGGCUUUAAUAAACAUGCAUCAUUUAAUAA
This is a non-coding RNA of Rattus norvegicus (Norway rat), 5447 nucleotides long. NCBI's taxonomy places the organism in Eukaryota, Metazoa, Chordata, Mammalia, Rodentia, Muridae. The record is from RefSeq and is a predicted model, not a curated record.